UACGUAGGGUGCAAGCGUUGUCCGGAAUUACUGGGCGUAAAGCGUGCGCAGGCGGUGAUGUAAGACCGAUGUGAAAUCCCCGGGCUUAACCUGGGAACUGCAUUGGUGACUGCACGGCUAGAGUGUGUCAGAGGGGGGUAGAAUUCCACGUGUAGCAGUGAAAUGCGUAGAGAUGUGGACGGAAUACCGAUGGCGAAGGCCAGCCCCCUGGGAUAACACUGACGCUCAUGGCACGAAAGCGUAGGGGAGCAAACAGG
Molecule: ribosomal RNA, 257 nt
Filed under: uncultured bacterium
Lineage: Bacteria
Description: partial 16S ribosomal RNA
Rfam family: Bacterial small subunit ribosomal RNA
Source: RNAcentral